GACGUCGAUAAAGAAGUGAAUCAAAAACUCAGUGGUGAACUUUCCGGCAGCAGACAGACGAGAUGGAGAGCGCAGUGGGUUGGAAUUAAAGGGCGUGAAAUACUUAAAGUAAAAAGUGGCCUCAGAGGUUUGUGUGCUGCUCAGUGCUCCUCGUCCUGCUGCAGUCUGAAAACUGGCCCACAAAGUUCUGCACGUGUCAGAA
Molecule: non-coding RNA, 202 nt
Organism: Paralichthys olivaceus (Japanese flounder)
Lineage: Eukaryota; Metazoa; Chordata; Actinopteri; Pleuronectiformes; Paralichthyidae
Source: RefSeq, a predicted model, not a curated record